Molecule: long non-coding RNA, 2662 nt
Organism: Mytilus californianus (California mussel)
Lineage: Eukaryota; Metazoa; Mollusca; Bivalvia; Mytilida; Mytilidae
Exons: 2
Source: RefSeq, a predicted model, not a curated record
UACAUGUCAAGUAUUUCAUUUCAAGUGAUUGUUGUAUGACGUCAAUAGUUCAAGAGGCGCAGAUUCUCGGGUCAAGCGGCGCAGAUUUCCAAAUAGCGAUAAGGUGUAUAAAGAAUAAUGGGCAAAAAUAUAAAGUAUGGAGAAAAAGGGACCAAAAAAUAAAGAAGAGAGAACAAUGAGGUGCUAAAAUAUAAAGAAUAGAGAAUAAUUGGCAAAAAGUAUGAAGAAUUGAGAAAAAUGGCAUAAAAAUUAAAGAAUACAGAAAUGUUGGACCCCCAUCCAGACCAUCAUAUAACAUUUUUAUUGAUGAAAUAAAUCCCAUAGAACAUAUCAUUUAAUCGACAGUCAACAAAGGUUUCAAUAGAACAGGUUCAAAUACAACACGGAAGACUGGUACUUCCUGAUCAGGCACUAAAACUAUUGGUUAAACUGUAGGCGGAUGUUAGCAACCGUAAUGGACGACUUUGCUUUUAUUUAUCAGAUAGUUGUACAAAAAAUAGCUUUUAUCUAUUAGAUAGUUAAUAAUCAAAUGUCGUAUCUCCAUUUUUUUUCCUAAUGAAUAUAUUGAUGUGCUGGAAUGAUUGAUAAAAGAUGAAAAAUAAAAUUUGCAUUACAAAAUUAUUGUAAAAAAAUAUAUUGCUGUCUUCAUUGUAAUGAAUAAAAACCGUACAAUUGUAAAUAAUUGAUAAAACAUUGGGAUUACAUAGUGCCAUGUUAAACCACAGGUUGUCUGCUGCUGAAAUCCACAAUGACAUCAUUAAUUUAAGUGACGUCUUUUUCAAUAGACCAAGUACAAGAAAAUUAUGUUCAGUCAGAAGGUUAGUUAAGAUGUAUGCUUUCAGAAUAAAUGGACAAAUGUAUGAGUUUCUGGAUGGGGGUCCAGCAUUUAUUUAUUUUUAACUUUUUGGACCAUUUUUCUUUAUUUUAUAUUUAUUUUUGCUCUAUUCUUUAUUAUUUUUGCCCUUCAUUCUGCACUUUAUGCCCAUUAUUCUAUAUUCUUUUAACCCAGAGCCUCCUGCAUGGGUCACAUAUUUCAUGUGUUUAGUUUAUCAAACUUUAUGUUUAGAGAGUACCUGAUAAAGGCUAUUUAGAAACCCGUAUAGUGCUCUCUGAGAGCGGUAACGUAUACUACCACUAGGUCAGUGCAGUUCUCCUGUCAGUCCCCGAAUUCAACAUUUGCUUAGAAACAGUAAUUAAAAUGACACCUUGAUCCUUAUUAUAAAUAAUCAGUUUACGCUGAAAUAUUACUCUUUCGGAGUACACGAGUUCAACCUCGAUUUUGGCGGACAUCGUGUUGCUCGAUCUUAAGUUUUCUGUGUUGUGUGUUACGGACCCGUUUCAUCUUUUUUCUUGUGUGUCUGUCUUUUUUCGACUUUUGGGUAUUGAUUGCCCCUUCAGUACCGUCUCCACUUUUCCGUAAAUCAUUUAAUUUUUAACUAAACUUAGUUUGUAGCUCUUAAAUUGAAAGACAAGUUAACCGUCAAAGAUUUUGAAAGAUCUACGAAGGCUCUUUUCGUAUUGGUGCUCUUAAAAUAGAUGUAUGAUGCCAAUUUUAGUACGCAUGACAUGUGAUUCUGAAACAAUCUACUCAAAAAAAUGAAAAAAAAACACUUAAUAAAUUUCAUGCGUCCGAAGCGCUUCUCUUGAUUUACCUUCAUCAGGAACGAUCAAAGCCGAAUAUUUGAAAGCCAAGGAUGUAUGUUGAAAAUCUAUAUGACCAAAAAGAACCUAAAGAUAAUAGCCAACUAAAGGUACGCUCAAGACCAAAAUUGUGGGAAGUCAAAAUACAGUAAACGUAUAACGUUUAGUUUUGCCUGAGAGACGAAGUUUAUUUCACUAUAAUUGGUAUCUUAUUUAAUUGUAACCAAAUCAUUGCAAUCAUGUUUAAUCAUUUGUACCAAAUUUAACUUGACGACUCUGCCUGUAAUGGGCAUCUUUAAUUGACAAUAAAAUAUUUGAACUUGAACUUGAACUACACUGACUAUAUAUAUUUUUAUUCUCUACAAACCAUUUACAGCGGAAUGGUACAGAGAACACAAUAUUAGAAACAAAUCAACAUAGAUGAGAUAGAUGUCAGCCCGGAUCACACAACCCUUUAUUAACAAUUUUGAUAAAUUUACAGAGUUUCGAAAGUAUCGAUUUUCUUUUACAUGUCAUAAGAUCUCCAAAUUUAAGUGUAUUUGGACGUUUUGAAAAUUUUUCUUGGAUUAAUAAACUUCGAAUGUUGGCAAUUAUAUAAGUGCCUUAUAACAAUUAUAUAAGUGCCUUAUAACAAUUAUAUAAGUGCCUUAUAACAAUUAUAUAUGUUUUCAGGUACUCACACUCUCAGUGUCGUGUCUCACUGUCUGGAAGGUUAUAUCAGAAACGUUACAUAAUUUAAAUCGAAAAGAAGAUCUUGUGUAUUUAAAUUCAUAUUUUAUAUUGCUUUUAAUUUUGGAUAUGACGGUUCGCAUUAUAAGAAAACUGAUUAUUCACAGCGAGCGUCGUUUGCGACCUAAACUUUAUGACAGAAGAGAAGACUUCAUUUUCCAAUUGUGAUUUUUUACAUUUUGAUGUAGUACCAUUCCAUAACUUUCAUAUCUCCCAGUUGAUACGAUAUUCCAGGAUUGCAUUUGCUUAAGGUUUUUAAGUUUGGUUUUCUAAUUAAAUUAUUUUUUUUCAA